GUAGGGAAUUUUCGUCAAUGGGCGCAAGCCUGAACGAGCGAUGCCGCGUGAGUGAAGAAGGUCUUCGGAUCGUAAAGCUCUGUUGCGGGGGAAAAAAGGCAGGAAGAGGAAAUGCUUUCUGACUGAUGGUGCCCCGCCAGAAAGUCACGGCUAACUACGUGCCAGCAGCCGCGGUAAUACGUAGGUGGCGAGCGUUAUCCGGAAUGAUUGGGCGUAAAGGGUGCGCAGGCGGUCCUGCAAGUCUGGAGUGAAAAGGACGAGCUCAACUCGUGCUGGCUUUGGAAACUGCGGGACUGGAGAGCAGGAGAGGGCGGUGGAACUCCAUGUGUAGCGGUAAAAUGCGUAGAUAUAUGGAAGAACACCAGUGGCGAAGGCGGCCGCCUGGCCUGUUACUGACGCUGAGGCACGAAAGCGUGGGGAGCAAAUAGGA
This 430-nucleotide ribosomal RNA is filed under the name uncultured bacterium. RNAcentral describes it as "bacterial SSU rRNA". It matches the Rfam family "Bacterial small subunit ribosomal RNA", at positions 354 to 777 of the family's 1533-position model. The record is from RNAcentral.